CCUACGGGAGGCAGCAGUGAGGAAUAUUGGUCAAUGGACGAGAGUCUGAACCAGCCAAGUAGCGUGAAGGAUGACUGCCCUAUGGGUUGUAAACUUCUUUUAUAAAGGAAUAAAACGAGGCACGUGUGCCUUUUUGCAUGUACUUUAUGAAUAAGGAUCGGCUAACUCCGUGCCAGCAGCCGCGGUAAUACGGAGGAUCCGAGCGUUAUCCGGUUUUUUUGGGUUUAAAGGGAGCGUAGAUGGGUUGUUAAGUCAGUUGUGAAAGUUUGCGGCUCAACCGUAAAAUUGCAAUUGAUACUGGCAGUCUUGAGUACAGUUGAGGUAGGCGGAAUUCGUGGUGUAGCGGUGAAAUGCUUAGAUAUCACGAAGAACUCCGAUUGCGAAGGGAGCUUACUAAACUGCCACUGACAUUGAUGCUCGAAAGUGUGGGUAUCAAACAGGAUUAGAUACCCCAGUAGUC
RNAcentral lists this ribosomal RNA (460 nucleotides) under uncultured bacterium. RNAcentral's name for it is "partial 16S ribosomal RNA". It matches the Rfam family "Bacterial small subunit ribosomal RNA", at positions 338 to 795 of the family's 1533-position model. The record is from RNAcentral.